UUGACGGUACCCUACUAGAAAGGAGCCGCUAACUUCGUGCCAGAAGCGUCGGUAAUACGGGGGCUCCAAGCGUUAUCCGGUGUUAUUGGGCGUAAAGAGUCGUGUAGGUGGUUGGGUAAGUUAUCUUUCAAAUAUCUUUGCUUAACAAAGAGGAGGGGGAUAAUACUGCUCGACUAGAAUUUUCUCAAGGGAGAUCGGAACUGAGGGAGGAGUAGUGAAAUGCGUUGAUACCCUCGGGAACACCAGUGGCGUAGGCGGAUCUCUGGGAGAAGAUUGACACUGAGACACGAAAGCUAGGGGAGCGAAGCAGAUUAGAGACCUGCGUAGUCCUAGCCGUAAACGCAUGCUUGCUAGCUGCAUGAACCUACCUUCGGGUGGUAUCGUGUGGCGAAGGUAACCCGUUAAGCAAGCCGCCUGGAAAGUACGGCCGCAAGGCUGAAAUUCAAAGGAAUUGGCGGGGAGGCACACAACCAGUGGAACAUGUGGUUUAAUUCGAGACUAACCGAAGAACCUCACCAGGGUUUGACAUGUAGCUGCACGUCUUAAGAAAUUAAGACUCUCUUGAAGGUGCUACACAGGUGCUGCAUGGCUGUCGUCAGCUCGUUCCGUGAGGAGUGCCCUUAAGUGGGACAACGAGCGCAACCCCUAUUACAUGUUAGAAAUGUCAUGUAAGACUGCCUUGCCAUUUGGCGGGGAGGAAGGAGGGGCAGACGUCAAGUCCGCAUGGUCCUUAUGCCCUGGGCUACACACAUGUUACAAUGAGUACGGCAAUGAGUCUGUCGCGAGCACGUAAGUGUAAGCUAAUCUCUUAAAUGUACUCUCAGUGGGGAUUGAGGUCUGCAACUCGACCUCAUGAACACGGAAUUGGUAGUAAUCGCGGGUCAGCUAUACCGCGGUGAAUACGUUCUUGCCUCUUGCACACACCGCCCGUCAAACCAGCAAAGUCGAUUGUA
Molecule: ribosomal RNA, 953 nt
Filed under: uncultured organism
Description: bacterial SSU rRNA
Rfam family: Bacterial small subunit ribosomal RNA
Source: RNAcentral